GAUGAACGCUGGCGGCGUGCCUAAUACAUGCAAGUCGAACGCUUUGUCUUUAAUUGAUAUGAAGAGCUUGCUCUGAUUUGAUUUUAUCUGACAAAGAGUGGCGAACGGGUGAGUAACACGUGGGUAACCUACCUCUUAGCAGGGGAUAACAUUUGGAAACAAGUGCUAAUACCGUAUAAUACUAACAACCGCAUGGUUGUUAAUUGAAAGAUGGUUCUGCUAUCACUAAGAGAUGGACCCGCGGUGCAUUAGCUAGUUGGUAAGGUAAUGGCUUACCAAGGCGAUGAUGCGUAGCCGAGUUGAGAGACUGAUCGGCCACAAUGGGACUGAGACACGGCCCAUACUCCUAUGGGAGGCAGCAGUAGGGAAUCUUCCACAAUGGGCGCAAGCCUGAUGGAGCAACGCCGCGUGUGUGAUGAAGGGUUUCGGCUCGUAAAACACUGUUAUAAGAGAAGAACGACAUUGAGAGUAACUGUUCAGUGUGUGACGGUAUCUUAUCAGAAAGGAACGGCUAAAUACGUG
Molecule: ribosomal RNA, 522 nt
Filed under: uncultured Weissella sp.
Lineage: Bacteria; Bacillati; Bacillota; Bacilli; Lactobacillales; Lactobacillaceae
Description: bacterial SSU rRNA
Rfam family: Bacterial small subunit ribosomal RNA
Source: RNAcentral